This 492-nucleotide ribosomal RNA is filed under the name uncultured bacterium. RNAcentral describes it as "partial 16S ribosomal RNA". It matches the Rfam family "Bacterial small subunit ribosomal RNA", at positions 30 to 507 of the family's 1533-position model. The record is from RNAcentral.
AGUGAACGCUGGCGGUAGGCCUAACACAUGCAAGUCGAACGGCAGCACAGUAAGAGCUUGCUCUUACGGGUGGCGAGUGGCGGACGGGUGAGGAAUACAUCGGAAUCUACUUUUUCGGGUGGGAUAACGUAGGGAAACUUACGAUAAUACCGCAUACGCCCUACGGGUGAAAGCAGGGGAUCUUCGGAGCUUGCGCGAUUGAAUGAGCCGAUGUCGGAUUGGCUAGUUGGGGGGGUAAAGGCCCACGAAGGCGACGAUAGGUAGCUGGUGUGAGUGGAUGGUCAGCCACCUGGGAAGUUGGCCACGGACCAGACGACUAAGGGACGCAGCAGUCGGGAAUAGUGGACAAUGGGGGCAAGCCUUGUACAGCCGUACCGCGUGGGUGGCGAAGGCGUCCGGGUUGUAAAGACGGUUUGUUGGGAAAGAAAAGCAGCAGGUUAAUACCCCGCUGUUCUGACGGUACCCAGAGAAUAAGCACCGGCUAACUACGUG